AGUGAACGCUGGCGGCGUGCUUAACACAUGCAAGUCGAACGAGAACGGAAUAUAGCUUGCUAUAUUUGUCAGCUAAGUGGCGCACGGGUGAGUAAUGUAUAGAUAACCUGCCCUUAAGAAUGGAAUAACAGUUGGAACCGACUGCUAAUGCCCUAUAUGCCUUUAAUACAAAAGUAUGCAAGGGAAACGCUUUAGUGCUUAAGGAUGGGUCUGUAUGGUAUCAGCUUGUUGGUGAGGUAAUGGCUCACCAAGGCUAUGACGCCUAACUGGUUUGAGAGGAUGAUUAGUAACAAUGGAACUGAGACACGGUCCAGACUCCUACGGGAGGCAGCAGUGGGGAAUAUUGCACAAUGGACGAAAGUCUGAUGCAGCAACGCCGCGUGGAGGAUGACACAUUUCGGUGCGUAAACUCCUUUUAUAUAGGAAGAUUAUGACGGUACUAUAUGAAUAAGCACCGGCUAACUACGUGCCAGCCGCCGCGGUAA
RNAcentral lists this ribosomal RNA (485 nucleotides) under uncultured bacterium. RNAcentral's name for it is "partial 16S ribosomal RNA". It matches the Rfam family "Bacterial small subunit ribosomal RNA", at positions 29 to 523 of the family's 1533-position model. The record is from RNAcentral.